RNAcentral lists this ribosomal RNA (915 nucleotides) under Russula sp. RNAcentral's name for it is "partial 28S large subunit ribosomal RNA". It matches the Rfam family "Eukaryotic large subunit ribosomal RNA", at positions 49 to 949 of the family's 3401-position model. The record is from RNAcentral. Lineage: Eukaryota; Fungi; Basidiomycota; Agaricomycetes; Russulales; Russulaceae.
AAUGGGUGAAUAGACUACAGGAUCCCCUAGUAACUGCGAGUGAAGCGGGAAAAGCUCAAAUUUAAAAUCUGAUGGCCUUUGUCCAUCCGAGUUGUAAUUUAGAGAAGCGUCUUCCGCGCUGGACCGUGCACAAGUCUCCUGGAAUGGAGCGUCAUAGAGGGUGAGAAUCCCGUCUUUGGCAUGGACACCGGGGCUUUUGUGAUGCGCUCUCAAAGAGUCGAGUUGUUUGGGAAUGCAGCUCAAAAUGGGUGGUGAACUCCAUCUAAAGCUAAAUAUUGGCGAGAGACCGAUAGCGAACAAGUACCGUGAGGGAAAGAUGAAAAGCACUUUGGAAAGAGAGUGAAACAGUACGUGAAAUUGUUGAAAGGGAAACGCUUGAAGUCAGUCGCGUCGCCCGAGACUCAGCCUUGCCUCGGCUUGGUGUACUUCUCGGCUGACGGGUCAGCAUCAAUUUUGCCCCUUGGAUAAUGAUAAGGGAAAUGUGACACCUUUAUAGGUGUGUUAUAGUCUCUCGUCGCAUGCAAGGGUCGGGAUUGAGGAACUCAGCACGCGCCCUUGGGUGUCGGGGUUCGCCCACGAUACGUGCUUAGGAUGUUGGCGUAAUGGCUUUAAACGACCCGUCUUGAAACACGGACCAAGGAGUCUAACAUGCCCGCGAGUGUUCGGGUGGAAAACCCGUGCGCGCAAUGAAAGUGAAAGUUGGGACCUCUGUCGUGGAGGGCACCAACGCCCGGACCAGACCUUCUGUGACGGAUCUGCGGUAGAGCGUGUAUGUUAGGACCCGAAAGAUGGUGAACUAUGCCUGAAUAGGGUGAAGCCAGAGGAAACUCUGGUGGAGGCUCGUAGCGAUUCUGACGUGCAAAUCGAUCGUCAAAUUUGGGUAUAGGGGCGAAAGACUAAUCGAUCUCUAGUCCA